UUAGUAAGGAAAGUGGAGACUAAAUAGUUGAGUUUUUAGUCGCUUUUUGAAGACAGUGAGUGACUCUGCCGUUCUGAUGCAGUUAGGGAGUUCAUUUUAUGAUCACUAUAAGAAAACAAUUCUCUCGAGAUUCUGUGUACACUGGUUUGUAUGUCGCCUGUAUAGUAGAUAAAACAACGCUAUACUCAUAAGAAUUUACUUUACACAGACUGAUUACAUCUUGCACAUUUGCAUAGUUAAUGUGGAUUUACAAAUAACCCAAUUAGAUAUGGCACAAUGUUUCUGAUAGAAAAUUGAGACUUUGAUUGUGCUGGUAUUUUUAUAUCGUUGACAUUGGGGAUCUUCUGUCAUAAAUGCUUUAAAAAUUACUGACAUUCCAGUACAGUAACAAAUUUCUAAACAAUUGGGCGAUUUAGAAAGAGUAUAUCAUUUCUAGUUUUUAAUAAGGAAUAUACAAAAUGUUUCAAUUACAGGUUCAUAUUUAAAUCGUGCUAGGCAACUAAAUGAAGAAACGCAGAUGACCUGACCACAGUCAAACGCAUUGUGCUUUUAAGCUAAUUGAUCUUUAAAGAAUCUGCUUUAUUUGCUUUGUUUAAUUUGUGAAACCUUAAUAUGUACUGUAUGGAAGAAUCGUUUCAUACAAUUACAUUUAAGCCCAGUGAAGCCUUGAAUUACUAAACUAAAGCCAUUUCUUGUGUUUUUCAGCUCAUUCUACAUUGCAGUUUCGGUUCCAUUGUGAAAAAUUGGCUACUUCCAAUGGCUUUAUGUAUCAGGUGCCUCAAUAUGUUAUUCCUGGGGGAAACUUGAAGGAUUGUGAACAUGGCUGGUAUUUUCUGGUAGGAACACCUUUUGUUUUACCUUUACAUUUUUACAGAAAUAACGAAGAUGUUUUUUUAAUUAUUAUUAUUUGGUUUGUCCAUAGAAUGGAACAUUUAUUGUUGACUCAACCAUCCCGGGGGAAAAUUUAGGAUUUGUUGUGCGUGUGAAUCCUGAGAACCUGACUGUUACAACAUGUGUAAACCUUAAAUGGCAACUUGACUGUGAUAACAUUAAGGUAGGUGCCAUAUCUGUGUCUGUGUAUUUACAAAUUAAAAAGACAAUUUGCUGAAUAAUUAAAUGGACAUACAAGGUUCUAAUGAGGUCAUUUUUGUUCUGUUACAGUUUUACCGUAUUGUCAAUUAUACAGAAGUGAGACUUGAAGUGACACUUAUAACAACACAAACGACCUUGCCAGAAAAUAACACUUCACCAGGAGACAAGGACCGUGGUAAGUAAUAUUUUUAACAUUUGAAAUAGUUUAAUUUCACAUUUGAUUGUUUUAUUUUUUAUUUGUUUUUUUUUUUUAAAUAAAGAAAUUAAGAGGCAUACAAUGCAAUUCUCUCUGUUGUCUUGUCUGUUGUUAGCAAGUUUUGCAGGCUCGAUAAUUGCUGUGCUUGUGGGGAUUGGGAUAGUGGGUCUUAUCCUGGCUGUUACCUGUUGUUUAUUUGGGAAAAAAGCAUACAAGAAGGUAAGUUCAUGUCAUUAAAAUGGUCGUUAAUAGUGAGAUGCUUGUGAUAAAGAUAUUAUAUUAUUAUUAUUUUUAUUUUUAUAAUGUUUUUAAUACAUUAUACUAUUGUUGUUACACAUUAAGCAAUAAAAGUGAAACCUAUAACAAGUCAUAUUUUGCUUUGUAGAAAGUUUAAUAUUUGUUGUAUAUUUCUAACAAUGGGAAUGGUUUCCAUUAUUUCCUAGAUCAAGGAGCCUUCACUUACAGCAGUAAAUGGGUCCGACAAACAAUCUUAUGUCUGAAACGCAUAACCCUAACCUUAACGCCCCAUUCACAUGGGGCUUCAGCAUCAACGCUUGACAGAGGGCAUGUCUGAAGUUGGGGCUGACAUGAUCGUCAUAGCAGCAUCAGCCAAGGAAAAUAGUUAUCAAUCGACUGCUUUCUGAGCUGGUGUAUUUGCAUAAAGUGAUCUGAUUGGCUGAUGCUUCCAUUGGGGCUAGAAAAAAUUAUGAAAGUCCUAACUUCUGCAGCGACCAAGCCACUGAAGCGGUGCCGACGGAUCCACAAUGUUGUUCGGCAACGCCUGACGUCAUCCAUUAAAAGUAAAUGGAAAGCGUUGAAGCUGACGCCCCAAGUGAAUGGGGUGUAACCCUAACACCACCACCUGAGUCCCUUAAAUGACUAUGUGACAUCCCAGUGCUGCCAGAUCUCUUCAUUCAAAGCCUCUUGAUCCGCCAGUGCUUCCUGAUCCACUCUGGAUGUCUGACCCGCCAGUGCCUCUGUCACUUUUAGUAUCAUGUUUGUUAUGUUUUUGCUUGUUUGCUAAAACAAAAUAAUUUUCAAACAAAGUUCUUAAAAAUUACAGCAGCCCACAUAAAUUAGUGUUAAGAAGUUAAGGUUUAAGAGCCCUACUCAAGCAAACACUAUUUACCAUUAUUAUUGCAGUAUCGACACUUUACCAAUGGCCAGGAGGUUGCUUUAGAGGAUGGACUCCUUCCUCUCUCGCCUCCAACACCCUUACUGAAUGCUGAGAGCAGGUGAGAUGCUUACAUACCCUUCCUCGGGACAUGCUGCUUUCCGAGGUGGGUACUCCCACCUGAGCUGCCCCACCGCUGAUGCGUUGAUGAUCGCUCUAAUGGUGUCACUGGCUCUGUGAGCCUGGUUAGCGCUGCUCAGUCUGGGAUAGUGGCACAUUGUGACAAUAAGACUCUGCUAUGUGAUUCAGUUCACCACACAGCCUCCAAGUUCAGGAGUGUGCAUUUUACUGUGGUAAAAUCUGCAGCUGCCCCUGUCUUGUGAAGGAAUUGCUGUUCUCUCGUGAAGGACGCAAUUGAGCUGUUUCUCUAGCCGAAAUAGAAUGCGUGUUUCUUAACCGUAUUUCAUCCCAUCCCAUCCCAUAAGUGUGGUGGCUAAUGACCAAUCCUGGUUCUGUGCACUUUUUAAACAUUUGUCUUGGUUGCACGCAGAGACAUGAUGAUCCGGCAUCACAGCCAGGGGGCGAUUCAGGUCAACUGAGAAGAGAGUCCCCUUUGUGUGGAGUUUUUUUUGAGAUGGAGUUAAACUCAGACCCUAUGUCACCCCCAGGGAACCCUGGAACAAGUGUUCAGACAGAUGCAUCCAGUGCAGACUGAAAAGUCAUGACACGAGCAUGCAGCUGUGAACCCCUACAUUGAGCUACAUUGUCAUGUUUAAUGCCUGGAGUUGUUGGCAGUGUUUUUCUUGCUCUGUGCCGGUUCUGGCCGCCUGACACUUGGCACCCCAAAGUGUGACAGGUUCAGCUCCUGUGGCGCUUAGGAUAUUUUCCCUUAGCUUAGGGGGAACAUCUUGGUUAUGUACAUAAUCCUUGAUCCCUGAAAGAGGGAAAAGAGACUUUUAUGUCCAGCUGCCACAGGAGCUUAAUUCACAAGUGGAACCAGUUUUCAGACAUCUGUCUUUGACAGAUGCAUCCAGUGCAGGCUGGAAAGCCAUGACACGAGCAUGCAGCUGUGAGCCCCUACCGGGUCCUCGGCUACAUUGGCAUGUCUAAUGCCUGGUGUUGUUGGCAGUGUUUAUCUUGCUCUUCUGCGAGUAGUCUAAGGAGUUUCCUCUCAAGGUAGCCUUUAUACUCCUAACUGCGGAGUGGCUACAUUUGUAAGAGCUGCACUUGCCAAUUCCAUAUGCGUUCCAUUGGCCUGUUUUAAACAAAUCAGAGUGAUUGGUGCUUCUAAGCGAAUCCACUAGUCAACAAAAUCAACAUAAACAUCUCCGUUUCCUCCUUCAGGGAAAGAGGGUUUUACGUACGUAACUAAGACGUUUCAUAUUAUAGUGUAAUUUCAGUCGUUUUUAAGUCACACCCACUUUGUCUGCUUGUUUCUCUGUUCGUUGUUUUGUUUAAUUUAGUUUAAAUAAAAAUACUGUGGGCUGCAUUUGGAUCCUCCACUCUGUUUAUUUCAACUACAUGCCCAGACGUGACACCUGAAAUGGAAGGGUGUUUUGUAGGUCGCUGCUCUCUUGAUUGAGACUGAUGUGGCCAGGAGCACAGUUUUUUUUUGUGAGCAAUUAGCUGACCCACUUGGCCCACUAGAGCUCCCAAGAGGAUUAGCCCACCAGCACCUUUUCAGGGACUGGAUUAUCAAGUCAUGCUUACCAAACAUUCUGCCUCCCACAACAUCAUAAAGCAGAGAUGGCAGUGAUUAAAAAAACUUGUGGAAGGUGAAAACCGCCACGCCACUUAACUGAGGGAAGGAAGUACAACCCUGAUCAGGCUCAAAAGGUUCAAAAAUAUUUAUUUUAGGUAUUAUUUAAAUGAUCAAAAUCUAAAUAUUCCAGAACACCAUCUUUAUACGCAUAGUACAGAUUUUUAAAUAUGCAUAUAUAUUUUUCCCCUAUAUCAUUAUUAACAAGUUAUUUUAGUUUUGUUGUCUGUAUGAAGUUACAGAGCAAUAUUUCAGCCUGGAGAUAGCACACCUUGAGAUUUUUUUGGGCAAAGCAAAUAUGGCGUCUUUUGUCACAUUUAUUAGGCAAAUACAUCCCUGGACAACAUAUUGAAUAACUUUGGUGCAUUCUUCAGUAAAAGAGUGGAAUUGACUGCUAUCUGAUUCAGUGUCAGAGUUUCUUAAUCUUAUACCUUAAUGUACUAAAUGGCAGAGCGAUGGAAAACUCAGCUCCAAUUAAUUUGUGCUCCCUUGAAAACAUAGCUUGUGAAAAGUUGUGGCAUAUCAAAAGUUAAGGGCUGUUCUCAGUGAGAACACAGUGCAUAAGCACACCUCAUAGAGAAAGCUCUAGCUGAGCAAGUGUUGCCUAACAGUGAUGGUAGGUCACUGAAGUCAACUACAUCUUUCAUGGCAAUGCCAGGGAUCUGAACAUGGGUGCCAGGAGAAUAUGUGGGGCUGCCGCAAGAAGCAAAAUACACAAAAUAAUGUUUCCACAUCAUAUGACCUCUUUGGAUUGUUGAUUGUGUUCUACAUUAAGCAUAGAUAUGCAUUAUGGAUGUUUUUUUGUUUUGUUUUUACCAUUAAUAUAGAAAUUAAACAUUUUGUAAUCUAUUUGUUGAUAAAACAGUAGAUUAGUAACACCACAUAUAUUUUCUUUGAUGUUGAAUAUUGUUUAAGAAUUGAAUGAGCACAACAUUAGUUCUAAAUUUAAGAUUUUUAUUUUUAAAAGCAAAAUGUGAAACUCAACAGAUAUAACUAUCCCCGAGGUCCUAUGCUGAUCCUACCCUCUCUCUGCUCCCCCCACCCUUUCCUGUCUCUAGCCUAAUGUUGAUCCUGGACCAUCAUUUAAAUACAGUGUAAAUUCGGUAAUGUUGAACCUGGCCCUUCAUAAAAAUUUAAAUACAGUGUAAGUUCAGUAAUAUUGAUCCUGGACCAUCAUCGUUUAAAUGCAGUGUAAAUUCACCAAUGUUGAUCCUGGACCAUCAUCAUUUAAAUACAGUGUAAACUUACUAAUGUUGAUCACGGACCAACAUAAACAUUUAAAUACAGUGUAAAUUCAGUAAUGCUGAUCCUGGACUAUCAUCAUCAUUUAAAUA
Non-coding RNA from Danio rerio (zebrafish), 5495 nucleotides. NCBI's taxonomy places the organism in Eukaryota, Metazoa, Chordata, Actinopteri, Cypriniformes, Danionidae. The record is from RefSeq and is a predicted model, not a curated record.